This 351-nucleotide ribosomal RNA is filed under the name Mantophryne cf. lateralis LAO-2013. RNAcentral describes it as "partial 16S ribosomal RNA". The record is from RNAcentral. Lineage: Eukaryota; Metazoa; Chordata; Amphibia; Anura; Microhylidae.
CUUUAGCCCUCCCACAACACCAAGUGUACCCACAGGCUUAAAAUUCACUCAAAUAAGGUACAGCCUAUUUGAAACAGGACACAACCUGCAACAGAGGGUAAUGCAUAAAUCUAGCGUGACCAAGUAGGCCUAAAAGCAGCCACCUUUUAAAAAGCGUUACAGCCUUAUCACAUUAUAUUAUUAAUCCCAACCUUAACCCAAAACCCCUUAUUAAUACUGAAUGACCCCAUACCAUUAUGGAAGCCAUUAUGUUAAAACUAGUAACAAGAAUAUUUAUUCUCCCAUAAAUGUAAGUGUAAGCCGAAAUGGACCACCCAUCGGCACUUACCGCCAAUGAACCUAAAGUAAUAA